UCCGGCUUAUCACCGGCAGUCCCUCUAGAGUGCCCAACUCAAUGCUGGCAACUAAAGGCGAGGGUUGCGCUCGUUGCGGGACUUAACCCAACAUCUCACGACACGAGCUGACGACAGCCAUGCAGCACCUGUGCAAGCUCCCCUUGCGGGGUCGUUCCGCUUUCACGGUCCUACCACUUGCAUGUCAAGGCCAGGUAAGGUUCUUCGCGUUGCAUCGAAUUAAGCCACAUACUCCACCGCUUGUGCAGGCCCCCGUCAAUUUCUUUGAGUUUUAAUCUUGCGACCGUACUCCCCAGGCGGUGCGUUUAUCGCGUUAGCUUCGCCACGGAAGGGGUCGAUUCCUCCCACAGCAAACGCACACCGUUUAGGGCCGGGACUAC
This 380-nucleotide unclassified non-coding RNA is filed under the name uncultured Verrucomicrobiae bacterium. RNAcentral describes it as "contains 16S-23S intergenic spacer region". The record is from RNAcentral. Lineage: Bacteria; Pseudomonadati; Verrucomicrobiota; Verrucomicrobiia.